Molecule: long non-coding RNA, 383 nt
Filed under: Lathyrus oleraceus (garden pea)
Lineage: Eukaryota; Viridiplantae; Streptophyta; Magnoliopsida; Fabales; Fabaceae
Description: Pisum sativum (pea) long non-coding RNA (PSAT_LNC041769)
Source: RNAcentral
AGAAGAGCUGAGCGGCGCAUAUACGUUCAAUCCUCUCCCUCAUUUUCAAGAGAGUCAAUGAAAAUAUAGAUAGUUUAUCAUCUAAUAGAGAGAGUUGCAUGUGUUUUAACCACUCAACCUACCAAGGAAUCAAACUAUCAUUUAAACUUUCACAACAACAAUGAAACUGUAGCAACUCCGCCUUCCACAAAGACCGCCAGAAGUUGUGUACUUUCUUCCUUCACUAGACAACCGUUAGAAAAGGUGCAAGGUACAAAAAGUGGAAAUUAUCAGUCUGUUUGAGGUAGCAUGAACUUUUUUUUUCUUUCAAAUUUCUGUUAAUUGGGAAAUACAUAUUAAUGUUAUGUGAUUGAAGUGUUUAUCUACUAUAGUCUAUAUCUAUG